GACGAACGCUGGCGGCGUGCUUAACACAUGCCAGUCGAACGGAAAGGCCCUGCUUUUGUGGGGUGCUCGAGUGGCGAACGGGUGAGUAACACGUGAGUAACCUGCCCUUGACUUUGGGAUAACUUCAGGAAACUGGGGCUAAUACCGGAUAGGAGCUCCUGCUGCAUGGUGGGGGUUGGAAAGUUUCGGCGGUUGGGGAUGGACUCGCGGCUUAUCAGCUUGUUGGUGGGGUAGUGGCUUACCAAGGCUUUGACGGGUAGCCGGCCUGAGAGGGCGACCGGCCACAUUGGGACUGAGAUACGGCCCAGACUCCUACGGGAGGCAGCAGUGGGGAAUAUUGCACAAUGGGCGGAAGCCUGAUGCAGCAACGCCGCGUGCGGGAUGACGGCCUUCGGGUUGUAAACCGCUUUCGCCUGUGACGAAGCGUGAGUGACGGUAAUGGGUAAAGAAGCACCGGCUAACUACGUG
This 468-nucleotide ribosomal RNA is filed under the name uncultured bacterium. Its description in RNAcentral is "partial 16S ribosomal RNA". It matches the Rfam family "Bacterial small subunit ribosomal RNA", at positions 28 to 507 of the family's 1533-position model. The record is from RNAcentral.